AACGAACGCUGGCGGCAUGCCUAACACAUGCAAGUCGAACGAGACCUUCGGGUCUAGUGGCGCACGGGUGCGUAACGCGUGGGAACCUGCCCUUAGGUUCGCAAUAACUCCCCGAAAGGGGUGCUAAUACCGGAUAAUGUCUUCGGACCAAAGAUUUAUCGCCUUUGGAUGGGCCCGCGUUGGAUUAGCUAGUUGGUAGGGUAAAAGCCUACCAAGGCGACGAUCCAUAGCUGGUCUGAGAGGAUGGUCAGCCACACUGGGACUGAGACACGGCCGAGACUCCUGCGGGAAGGAGCAGUGGGGAAUAUUGGACAAUGGGCGAAGGGCUGAUCCAGCAAUGCCGCGUAAGUGAUGAAGGCCUUAGGGUUGUGAAGCUCUUUUACCCGGGAUGAUAAUGACAGUACCGGGAGAAUAAGCUCCGGCUAACUCCGUG
Molecule: ribosomal RNA, 433 nt
Filed under: uncultured bacterium
Lineage: Bacteria
Description: partial 16S ribosomal RNA
Rfam family: Bacterial small subunit ribosomal RNA
Source: RNAcentral